GCCAUGUCUUCCUCCGGCUCCUUCUCGCCUAGCCUCAACAACCAGGUCACAGAGAAGUUAUCACGCACGAACUAUGUGCUGUGGCGCACGCAGAUCACACCUCAGCUGCGCGGUGCCGGCGUCUUCGGCUACAUCGACGGCACCAAUCCGGAGCCGGCCAAGCUCCUCGUCACCACCAAGGAAGGCAAGGAGACUUCAUCGCCCAACCCUCUCCACCCUAUAUGGGUACGGGAGGAUCAGCAGGUCCUUGGCUACCUGCUGAACAACCUCACGAAGGAGGUCCUGGUCACGGUGACCACGGUCACCACGGCGGGCGCGCUCUGGACGACGCUCGCGGCCAUGUUCUCGUCGCAGUCGGCGAGUCGCAUCAACAACAUCCGCACCUCCCUCAUCAAUGCGCAAAAGGGAAACCUCUCGGUGGCCUCCUACUUCGCCGCCAUGCGUGGCUAUGCCGAUGAGCUGGCCGCGGCUGGCAAGCCAAUCCAGGACGACGAGCUCAUCUCGUACAUCAUCCAUGGGUUGGAGGCGGACUAUCAACCUCUGGUGUCGGCUCUCGACGCCCGAGUUACUCCUGCGACCCUCGACGAGCUCUUCGCCAUGUUGUCCAACUUCGACCAACGCAUGGCCCAAUUC
This 633-nucleotide ribosomal RNA is filed under the name Triticum aestivum (bread wheat). RNAcentral's name for it is "partial small subunit ribosomal RNA". Lineage: Eukaryota; Viridiplantae; Streptophyta; Magnoliopsida; Poales; Poaceae. The record is from RNAcentral.